Molecule: ribosomal RNA, 542 nt
Filed under: uncultured Actinomycetes bacterium
Lineage: Bacteria; Bacillati; Actinomycetota; Actinomycetes
Description: bacterial SSU rRNA
Rfam family: Bacterial small subunit ribosomal RNA
Source: RNAcentral
AGGAGGUGCGCCUUAUGCAUGCACGUCGAGCGAAGCUUUUCAGUAGUUUACUACAGACAAUGACUGAGCGGCGAACGGGUGAGUAACGCGUGAGCAAUCUACCUUAGUUACAGGUAUAGCCCGAGGAAACUCGGAUUAAUACCUGAUAUUCUUUAUUUCUCGCAUGAGAAUAAAAGGAAAGGUCAGCCGAACUAAGAUGAGCUCGCGUUCUAUCAGCUAGUUGGUGAGGUAAAAGCUUACCAAGGCUACGACGGAUAGCUGGUCUGAGAGGAUGAUCAGCCACAUUGGGACUGAGACACGGACCAAACUCCUACGGGAGGCAGCAGUAGGGAAUAUUGGACAAUGGGGGAAACCCUGAUCCAGCAAUGCCGCGUGAGUGAAGAAGGGCCUCGGGUUGUAACACUCUUUCAUCAAUGAUGAUAAUGACAUUAGUUGAAGAAGAAGCUCCGGCUAACAUCGUGCCAGCAGCCGCGGUAAUACGAGGGGUGCUAGCGUUGUCCGGAUUUACUGGCCGUAAAGGGUACGUAGGCGUUCUAAUAAGU